Acanthaster planci (crown-of-thorns starfish) is the source of this 732-nucleotide long non-coding RNA. The record is from RefSeq and is a predicted model, not a curated record. NCBI's taxonomy places the organism in Eukaryota, Metazoa, Echinodermata, Asteroidea, Valvatida, Acanthasteridae.
AAUGAGCCCUCAAGCUUUUUAGGCUGUGGUACGAUGACAACAUUAGCGAUUUUUAUUUCCGGGUAAGACCAAUCCCUGUUAGCACGCCCCCAUUAAAAUUAUAGUACCUGGUAAAAGUUCCAGUAAGCUGACUGCGGAUUCGAGGAGAUCAUCGUAAAAGAGAGACUUCGGUACGCCUUUUCACACUACCGGGGCAUAGACGCUAGUCCCCGAUGGCGUACAAGCCUCGCGAAGUCCUGGGGCUGAGUGUGCUCCUGUUCCUUGGGGAUGUGGUGUUUAUUCUCUUGUACGUCGUGAGCGCAUCAGUCCUCCACUUGGAGCCAAGUGUGCAAGCCUCCUCGGUGGUGACUGCUGUCUAUAUUCUGAUCCUGUCUUUGUUUGGAUUAUUCAUAUCAAGAAAUGACUCGGAUGAAAGACCAAUGGUAAUCAGACUAGCUGUCUAGAUUAUUCCUCCACGGUGAGAGAAAAGCAAGCAGUAGGCCUACCUACAAAAACGAUGUUCACAGUACACCAUGGCAUUUCACUGAAGAAGACCUGUAACUGGGUUGUAAAAAUAUAGACGGUGAUAACGACUUGUGAGUGGCUCAUCGUCUGUUGAAUUUGUUCAAUCACCAACCACUAGUCAAUUGAUUAGAUCCUUGUUUGUGAUUCAAGUUGGAAGACACAAACCAACACGUAUCCACUAAAUCAUGUAUGGUUAAAUGUCAGAAUGAUGUGUACUUAUCUCUUAAC